ACGACUCUCGGCAACGGAUAUCUCGGCUCACGCAUCGAUGAAGAACGCAGCAAAAUGCGAUACUUGGUGUGAAUUGCAGAAUCCCGUGAACCAUCGAGUUUUUGAACGCAAGUUGCGCCCGAAGCCAUUUGGUUGAGGGCACGUCUGCCUGGGCGUCACAC
This 161-nucleotide ribosomal RNA is filed under the name Coronidium oxylepis. RNAcentral's name for it is "5.8S ribosomal RNA". It matches the Rfam family "5.8S ribosomal RNA". From Rfam's summary of the family: 5.8S ribosomal RNA (5.8S rRNA) is a component of the large subunit of the eukaryotic ribosome. It is transcribed by RNA polymerase I as part of the 45S precursor that also contains 18S and 28S rRNA. The record is from RNAcentral. RNAcentral also lists the same sequence under 1 other name. Lineage: Eukaryota; Viridiplantae; Streptophyta; Magnoliopsida; Asterales; Asteraceae.